Molecule: long non-coding RNA, 537 nt
Organism: Pseudopipra pipra
Lineage: Eukaryota; Metazoa; Chordata; Aves; Passeriformes; Pipridae
Exons: 2
Source: RefSeq, a predicted model, not a curated record
CCCCCCGGCAAACACCUUUCGUAAAGGUGUUCAAACAAGAAAGCACAGACCAGGCAGGUACUUACACUUGUGGAAGCUGGCCAUAACUGGUGGCAAUACAGAUUCUAUGUACAUUCCUUCAUAACAACAAUUAUGGAAAAUUACUGGAAUGUUCCAAGUACUCAAAGGUUUGAACGUGUUUUCCCUUGCUCCGAGGAUCCACAUUUAUCAUUUGCUUUUGGAAUUUGAGGCCUUUUGAGGUGUGCAUAUCAUCCAUUUAUACACUGUUAUUAAUAACUGGCCACAGUUAGACUGAACAAGCUUUGGAGAACACCUCCAUCACCAACUUGGGCAGUGCCACAAAAGAGAGCUGCACUGCACUGAAGAGAAGCAAACCAGCAGAGAAAUCCUUUUGUGCCUUACCUUGUAACGGGAAGAGCAGAUGCCUUCAAACAUAUCUAUAUCCAUACAGUCCAUUGGUUCAGAUCUUCCUGGUAAUAGCAACUCUUCCAGCUUCUUGUUUUCUUAUUUUUAAUGUGCCAGCUGGUGCAACCUGUA